GUGGGGAAUAUUGCGCAAUGGGCGAAAGCCUGACGCAGCAACGCCGCGUGCGGGAUGACGGCCUUCGGGUUGUAAACCGCUUUCAGCAGGGACGAAGGGUUACCUUGACGGUACCUGCAGAAGAAGCACCGGCUAACUACGUGCCAGCAGCCGCGGUGAUACGUAGGGUGCGAGCGUUGUCCGGAAUUAUUGGGCGUAAAGAGCUUGUAGGCGGUCUGUUGCGUCGGAAGUGAAAACUCAGGGCUUAACCCUGAGCCUGCUUUCGAUACGGGCAGACUUGAGGGAUGUAGGGGAGAACGGAAUUCCUGGUGGAGCGGUGGAAUGCGCAGAUAUCAGGAGGAACACCAGUGGCGAAGGCGGUUCUCUGGACAUUUCCUGACGCUGAGAAGCGAAAGCGUGGGGAGCAAACAGGCUUAGAAACCCUAGUAGUCC
This 432-nucleotide ribosomal RNA is filed under the name uncultured bacterium. RNAcentral's name for it is "bacterial SSU rRNA". It matches the Rfam family "Bacterial small subunit ribosomal RNA", at positions 354 to 796 of the family's 1533-position model. The record is from RNAcentral.